GUGACGGGCCCGCACAAGCAGCGGAGCGUGUGGUUAAUUCGAUGUUACACGAAGAACCUUACAGGGUUUGACAUGCAAGUGGUAGGAAGCCGAAAGGUGACCGACCCUUCGGGGAGCUUGCACAGGUGCUGCAUGGCUGUCGUCAGCUCGUGUCGUGAGAUGUUCGGUUAAGUCCGCUAACGAGCGCAACCCUCGCUGUGUGUUAUAUGUGUCACACGGGACUGCCGGUCUUAAGCCGGAGGAAGGUGGGGAUGAUGUCAAGUCAGCAUGGCCUUUAUAUCCUGGGCUACACACACGCUACAAUGGCCAACACAAUAGGUUGCUAAGCCGCGAGGUGGCGCCAAUCCAUAAAGUUGGUCUCAGUUCAGAUUGUAGGCUGCAACCCGCCUGCAUGAAGAUGGAGUUGCUAGUAACCGCAGGUCAGCUAUACUGCGGUGAAUACGUUCCCGGGGCUU
RNAcentral lists this ribosomal RNA (455 nucleotides) under uncultured Leptolinea sp. Its description in RNAcentral is "bacterial SSU rRNA". It matches the Rfam family "Bacterial small subunit ribosomal RNA", at positions 917 to 1381 of the family's 1533-position model. The record is from RNAcentral. Lineage: Bacteria; Bacillati; Chloroflexota; Anaerolineae; Anaerolineales; Anaerolineaceae.